This 253-nucleotide ribosomal RNA is filed under the name uncultured bacterium. RNAcentral's name for it is "partial 16S ribosomal RNA". It matches the Rfam family "Bacterial small subunit ribosomal RNA", at positions 524 to 776 of the family's 1533-position model. The record is from RNAcentral.
UACGAAGGGGGCGAGCGUUGUUCGGAAUCACUGGGCGUAAAGGGCGCGUAGGCGGCCCUCUUAGUCGCGUGUGAAAGCCCCGGGCUCAACCUGGGAACAGCGCGCGAAACGGGAGGGCUGGAGUUCGGGAGAGGAGAGUGGAAUUCCCAGUGUAGCGGUGAAAUGCGUAGAUAUCAGGAGGAACACCUGUGGCGAAAGCGGCUCACUGGACCACAACUGACGCUGAGGCGCGAAAGCUAGGGGAGCAAACAGG